This 1948-nucleotide long non-coding RNA is filed under the name Homo sapiens (human). Its description in RNAcentral is "HSALNT0362201". The record is from RNAcentral. Lineage: Eukaryota; Metazoa; Chordata; Mammalia; Primates; Hominidae.
AAGUUACAGUGAGCUAUGACCAUGCCACUGGCAUGCCAGCUUGGGCAACAGAGCAAGACCCUGUCUCUAAAAAUUAACCAAGUAAAAGAUCAUGCGGGUAGCAGUGGGUGUGGUGAGAAGUAUCAGGCAAUUGAAGCACAGAGUGGUAAUCUAAGAUAGGAGAACACAGGUGGAACAGGUUUUGGUGAGAAGGAGGAGCACAGGUGGAACAGCUUUUGGGGAGACAAUCAGCAGUUUUAUUUGGGAUAUGUGAAGUUUUUGGUGUCUGGUAGACCUCCUGGUGGAGAAGCUGUGUAGCAGGGGCCCAUAUAAGCCUGGAGUUCAGGAGAAAGCCUGGGCUGGAGGUACACGUUGGGGAGUUGCUGACAGGUAGGUUUAUUUAAAAAACGAAGUCAAAUGAAAUCACUGAGGGAGUGAGGGUAGGGAGAAAGAGAACCAAAUAUUGAGGGUGGAGGCACUCUCACUUAAGAAGAUGGGGAGAACAGGAGGAACCUGCAAAGGAGAAUGAAAAGGAGUGGAGUCAGGUGUCUCGGCAGCCAAAGGAGGAAGUGGUCGCCUCUGACAGACUGUGCCGACAGGCCAAGUAAGGCACAGCUAAAGAAAUGUGUUACUGACAAGCCUGCAGGCCACAUGGCGAGAUGGAAAGCAAGCAGUAAAGACCAAAGAAACUCGUUGAGGACAAUGGAAGAUGGGCUCAGAAGAAAAUGGAUACAGCUGAAGCUAGAUGGGUCAUGGGUGAAAGCAGGACAGGACCUCAUUCUCCAACAGAUACCAAGGAGAGCAGGUUUAGUGGAGAAAAGCAAUGGAUUUGGAGUGAGGACGUAUGUGUGAAGGUCCUGAUGAGCAAACUUUAGGUCCUUCAGCAACUCAGGUGACCUUUCUGGACCUCUUCUGAAAUGGGGACAACAAUGCUUGCUCAGAGGGCUGCUGAGAAGAUCAGGUAAGUCUGUGUGUGUGUGUGUGUAUGUCUUUUGCAAUCUAUAAAGCACUAUUCAAAGAUAAAAGACUAGAACUGUCACCAGAAAAGUGAAGACUUUUAUCAACAUGUGAGGGGAUAAAAGCAAAACAGACAGAGACAGACAGGAUUAGAAAGAGCCAGGCCACAACCUCCUUUAGCAAGAGAAAAUCUAGAAAUGCUCUCUGUGAAGACAAAGCUUCACUUGCGGUUCUCAUCCGUUUCUUUCUUCAGGUAUUCUGCCCAUCAGAUCUCUCAAGGAGGAGGAUGACAGGAUUUUAAACCUGAAGGCAUCAGGACAAAAAACAGCAGCACAGGGGAUCCACAAACAGGAUUCUUUCAACUGAAUAAUGAAGUCUUCUCCCUCCAGCAUGAUGGCAGACUACAUCUUCAUAAGGGCCAACCCACUCAAUAACGACGAGGUCCAGGAUUAAACCUACUUUUUAAUGCAGUGUGAAACUGCAAGAUGUCAGGGAAAUCCCAAGGGACUAUUCCCCUACCCCACACCUCAGCAAACUAAAACAAAACCAUGAGCUGAAACCAGAGGUGAAAAUACUGAAGGUAAGCAAAUACGAAUGGCGAAGUGGCCUGGAAAACAAACGCCAUAUUGACAGUUGAUGAAGAGAUCAAGCCUUGGAACAGAACGAGGUGAGGUGGCUGAACCUGAGGCACUCACCUCCAACACAAAAGGAGGCUAGCAUUGGUCCCUUCUAGGGAGGGAGGAUGGAUGGCAAUGAUCCCAGCUCAGGCAGAAGCAAUUGUAAAUCCUUGUUGGAGAAAAGUAUCCCUAAAGCAGUCUCUCAGGAUUAGCACCGAUUAAGAUGAAGCAAGUGGAGCUCAUGAUCUAAGACCAUGAACACACCAGAAAAGUGAAGUUAAAAAGAGUAGAAAAAACAAACAAGAUUCAGACCUUUAAGGACUUUAGAGUUUGGAACUUCCAGACACAAGACAAAAAAUAACAACGUAAAAAAUGUUUUUAAGAAAUAGUUGACC